Molecule: long non-coding RNA, 325 nt
Organism: Calypte anna (Anna's hummingbird)
Lineage: Eukaryota; Metazoa; Chordata; Aves; Apodiformes; Trochilidae
Exons: 3
Source: RefSeq, a predicted model, not a curated record
ACAGCUGAGGAUUAUGCUGAUCUUCAUGGGAACUGGAGUCUGAGUCAAUAUCUGGCAAAAAUGGAGAACACAGCAGAAGCUCCUGCAGGGGAUGCUCAAGGUGACAACAUCCUCAAGAUACUUCGAAUUCCUGAGCAGGCUUGAGCUGCUGGAGAGCUGGAAGCAAAAACAGACCAGGAGAACACAGGAGAAGCUCCUGCAUGUGAUACAGAAGAUAUCACCAUGGUUACCAGUCCUGAGCAGGCAGGAGCUGCUCCAUUUAUGUGGGGUGCACCUGCUGUGGACAGAGGAGCCACAGAUGACCUUUGUGAAGGAGGCUCAAUAA